UCCACUGCUCGCAUGCCGCUGUGGGAGACAACAGAACCUCCAGAAUUACCCAAAGUGUACUCAAGAGCCACAGCCUGCAAGCACUCCCUCAAACCCUCGCCCCCGGAAAGAUGGUGUCAAGUUUGAGCAGAGGGUUCCGGUGGGUUGUUUUUCUUCGCAAGAGUCCUGGACCCGUUUGUGUGCGCGAGAGCCUUCUUGAGUUAGGGAGUCCUUCCUUUGCGUGACGGCGGGCUUUCGAGGAUCCCGGGGCAUCGUGGACACGCAGCACGGACCAGCACCAGGAAGCCCCUUCAAACGUGUGGAGCGUUUACGAAGAGCUGGCCUUUGGAAAGACCCAGGAGUGGGACGAGCAUCCCAGGAGUGGGAAGCGCAUCCCAGGGUCCUAACCGGAAGACGCAGGCGCGACACCCGACAAAGCCCGCUGCUUCCAGCGCCAGCUGGCUGGGAAACUCUUUCGGCACCCACCCACCCCCCACCCCUGCUCGCGAGAGCCGUUCGCGCCCGUUAAGCGCCACUACUCGCGAGAAUUCCGCUACGCAGCAAUAGCGGGACUGUGAGUGCCGCUGACAGAACUCAAGGAAAACGGGCUGGAACAGGUUUGGUCCGAGAUCGGGCUACUGGGGUCCCUCCGAGACACUUUUCCCUGGAGGGCGUGACAGCUGGGGUCAUGAAGCCACUCCGGGGGCCGGACGGCCGCCAGCGACCAAGCUCCCGCCUCUUCCCCAGAUGCCGCGCCACUGCUCGGCCGCCGGCUGCUGCACACGGGAAACGCGCGAGACGCGCAACCGCGGCAUCUCUUUCCACAGACUUCCCAAGAAGGACAAUCCGAGGCGUAGCCUGUGGCUGGCCAACUGUCAGCGGCUGGACCCCAGCGGCCAGGGCCUGUGGGACCCUGCCUCUGAGUACAUCUACUUCUGCUCCAAACAUUUUGAGGAGAACUGCUUUGGGCUGGUGGGAAUCAGGUGGGCUUCCUUGCCAGCCAGCAUUGGGCAGGGUGUGGGGUGUCAGCAUAGUAUACAGCGGGGCAGCUGUGUCUUGAAGAGGCAGUCCCUGAGCAGCUGCCCUGAGGACAGCUUGCCAGGUGGACAGGCAGCCAUGGUUCCAAAAGUGCUGCUUUCCCUUCCCCUUUGUGUACAGUAAAGCGCACUCCCAGUUUCACUUUGCCAGUAACACCAGAGAAAAACAGCUGUUCCAGGGAGUGUUCCUCACCCAGGCCUCCCAGCAAGCCCACAAAAAGAAUUCUUUUUGGCUGGUCUGUCCAGCCCUGUUGGUGGAGCUGCUUCAUCCAUCUCAGCUUUAAGAGAUUGGUGGGAUUCUGCCUCACGUGGCAUUUUCUCAAACUUGUUUAUUAUGUGCCUUCCAGCCUGCCACAACCCCAGUACUAGGGAAGCUGUAUUGGGUACCAGAGGGAGAUGGCCCAAGUGGCAGCACUUGUUCUUCAGCUCAUUAGGGCUGCUUUUCCCCCACAGUGGCUAUCACAGGCUGAAGGAAGGGGCAGUUCCCACCAUAUCUGAGUCUUUUUCCAAAUUGCACUGGAUAACCAAGACCAAGGGGCCCAGUUUUCCAAGCGGCCCCCAGAGUUACCUGAUUUGAGAAUGGAAGAAGUGGUAUGUGAUGGGUGCAGUAGUUCCUGCCUAUAAUCACUGCAGUUCAUUAGGCUAAGGCAGGAGGAGUCCAAGUUCAAAGCUAUUCUCAGCAAUUUAACAAGGCCCUAUAUUAAAAAAUAAAAAUGCAUUCAGUGUAAAAUAGAAUAUUCUUGAAUUGUUGGUGAGAAUAAAGUGAGCCCCAAGUAUCUUAAGAGAAUUUUAAAAAAUGCCUGGGGAUGUUGUUCAGUGGUUAAAUGGUUAAGCACCCCUGUAUUCAAUCCCUGGUACAAAAUAUAUAUAAAUAUAUGUGUGUGUGUGUGUGUAUAUAUAUAUAUAUAUAUAUAUCCGAAACAGUAUAUUCUGUGGGUCAGAGAUUCCCUCCACUUACUCCCAUCUCAUGACAGAAAGAGGGCUUUAUGGUAUCUACCCAGAUGUGGUUUUUAUUAUACUAAUUUUCUGAUGGGGUUCAUGUAUUAGGUCAGUGCUGUGAAAUGUGGUCUGUUGGUCUCUUUUUCUCUUCUCUCCAGCUGCUUUGAAGGGCUCUGCAGCUCCAUUCUGUAACUCCUCCUGCUGAUGUCACCUGCUUUCCUGUAAAAAAAAAGCCUCAGAACCUGCCACUUUUUCUUUCACAGGAUCUGAGAGCCUCUUCCCAGAUUUUCUAGGUUCUCUAGAUGCCCAGCCCUUACCAGAACAGUAGCAUCCCUCUCUCAAGCCUUAUCCUAUCUCCCCUUCAACUUUCUUGCCAUACCUCCAUCAGAGCCUAUGUUCUAAAUGACCAGUUGCCAGGUAGGCAAUAUUCUGUAGAAGGUCCAGUGCCAGCUCCAGGCUUGCAGGCAGAGAAGCAGUGCUGCAGCUGACAAACCUGCAUCAGAAGCUGGCACAGGCAGAUAUCCGCCAGACUCUGAAGGAGCAUGUGUAGAACUUUGCUGUGCAGAUGAGUAGCAGCAUGAUCUGAAGGAGGAUCCAGCCAUCAAGGCUGAAGUUUCUAACAUCCUUAUUUAUCUGUCUACCAAGCACAGGAUCAGAAUUGGACCUAUGUGAUCCACCAGAUACCAUAUAAAAGUAGAUUCUAGAAGGCUGUCUUGCUAUCUGGCUCACUUCAGGGUUCGAACCUUGUUCCCACCAGACAGUGUUGGCAGUCCCCAGAGAGACCCAAAAUGAUUGGCUAUGGGGAGCUGAGAUCCUGGUUCCUAAUUUUUAAGAUUUUUUUUUUUAGUUGCAGAUGGACACAAUGCCUUUAUUUUAAUUUAUUCAUUGUUGCAAGCGAGCCAUGGACUGUGUGAGCUAUGAGCAUUCGAGUGGAUGGGAGGACUGGCCUGGUGUUAUAUGCUCUUUGGGCUGUGCAACACACAUAUGCACUUUCCUCUCUCCGUGCCUGUGACUAGCCAAGAUGUCAAUCUGCUGACCAUAAGACAUCAGGAAGCUAGACUCAAUCCUCUGAAACCUGCCCCUUGCCUUAUUUGGAAAGAACAUUCCAUGGAACUUCCUUCUGUGUGCCGCCCCCCCCCCCCAUUAAAAUAAAGAAUCUAGGUGCAAGUUCUCUCUUUCCAACAGACCCUUAAGGUCGAGAACUGUCCCUGAGUCCUGCAGGCAAAAUGUA
This is a long non-coding RNA of Marmota monax (woodchuck), 3186 nucleotides long. RefSeq lists it as uncharacterized. The transcript is spliced from 2 exons. The record is from RefSeq and is a predicted model, not a curated record. NCBI's taxonomy places the organism in Eukaryota, Metazoa, Chordata, Mammalia, Rodentia, Sciuridae.